CACGUACUCCCUCCGUUCCGAAUUACUUGUCUUGGAUUUGUCUAGAUACGGAUGUAUCUAGAUUCAUUUCAGUGCUAGAUACAUCCGACAAAUCUAAGACAAGUAAUUCGGAACGGAGGGAGUACGUA
This is a non-coding RNA of Triticum aestivum (bread wheat), 128 nucleotides long. The record is from Rfam. Lineage: Eukaryota; Viridiplantae; Streptophyta; Magnoliopsida; Poales; Poaceae.